RNAcentral lists this transfer RNA (81 nucleotides) under Epichloe festucae E2368. Its description in RNAcentral is "tRNA-Ser (CGA) (tRNA-Ser-CGA-1-1)". It matches the Rfam family "tRNA". From Rfam's summary of the family: Transfer RNA (tRNA) molecules are approximately 80 nucleotides in length. Their secondary structure includes four short double-helical elements and three loops (D, anti-codon, and T loops). RNAcentral also lists the same sequence under 1 other name. Lineage: Eukaryota; Fungi; Ascomycota; Sordariomycetes; Hypocreales; Clavicipitaceae. The record is from RNAcentral.
GGCAAAGUGCCAGAGUGGUUAAUGGGUGGCACUCGAAAUGCCAUGUCUUCGGACGCGCAGGUUCAAAUCCUGUCUUUGUCG